CCCAAGGGCUGGGCGAGGUUGAAGGAAGCAGUAACAAGCAGCUGGGGAAGGGCUUAAGCACUUACCAACUUCUGGAGUUUUGAACAAUUCAUGGGGGACGAGGUUACCUGCCAUAAAAAUGCUGGCCUGCUGGAGCGCACCCUUGGCUAAGCGCAUCGAGAAGUCACCUGUUACCCAAGCCCAUGGACAGAGACACAGGUCGUGCUGUCACAGUGUUGAAAUUCAAGAGGAAAUGUCACGGACAUCCAAGAACAGGCCGAGAGGAGGGGAAGUCUCCUUGGACUAGCUCUGGAAGCCUAGAAGGCAACCGGGGACUCAGGAAACUCUCAAGGCAGCCAUCCCCCUCACUCUCUCUCUCUCUCUCCUGCCCUCCUUCUCUUGGUUGGAGAGUUUCUUCCGGACCAUGAUACCCUAGCUACCUGCCAUUCUAGCUGCCUUCAGUUUUCUAAUUCUCCUGAAAAAAAUACGAUUUGCAGAGUUCACCUUUUUGGGCCAGACUGGAAGUCUGGACUGACCACUCUGUGGUCCGGUGUCCGCCAGUGCCGUGGGUGGAGGAGAUGGGGUUCUCUAUAAGGCUGUUUCUUCAGAAAGGGGAUGUGGGCAGUGCAGGGCCUUCCAGAUCACAUAGGGUCACACGCACUCUUUCUUUCUUUUUUUUUAAAGCAGAAAUGAAGUCAUUGCAAUCACUUGUCCCUUCAGAGGUGAAAGCUAGAUUUUACUACAGAUCUACUUACAUGAUGGUACAUUGCCUAUUUGUCGCUUCACACGUGCCCUGAUUUGUGAAUCAGGUUCACCACCGACAUCUGGGGUCUGAGGGCGUGAGA
Long non-coding RNA from Mirounga angustirostris (Northern elephant seal), 824 nucleotides. RefSeq lists it as uncharacterized. The transcript has 3 exons. Lineage: Eukaryota; Metazoa; Chordata; Mammalia; Carnivora; Phocidae. The record is from RefSeq and is a predicted model, not a curated record.